CAAUCCUACGGGGGGCAGCAGUGGGGAAUAUUGCACAAUGGGGGGAACCCUGAUGCAGCGACGCCGCGUGGGUGAAGGAGUACUUCGGUACGUAAAGCCCUAUCAGCAGGAAAGAAAAUGACGGUACCUGACUAAGAAGCCCCGGCUAACUACGUGCCAGCAGCCGCGGUAAUACGUAGGGGGCAAGCGUUAUCCGGAUUUACUGGGUGUAAAGGGAGCGUAGGCGGCGAUGCAAGUCAGAAGUGAAAGCCCGGGGCUCAACUCCGGGACUGCUUUUGAAACUGUAUGGCUAGAUUGCGG
RNAcentral lists this ribosomal RNA (300 nucleotides) under uncultured bacterium. RNAcentral describes it as "bacterial SSU rRNA". It matches the Rfam family "Bacterial small subunit ribosomal RNA", at positions 334 to 651 of the family's 1533-position model. The record is from RNAcentral.